This 1196-nucleotide long non-coding RNA is filed under the name Anas platyrhynchos platyrhynchos (common mallard). RNAcentral describes it as "lncRNA (ENSAPLG00000030633.1)". Lineage: Eukaryota; Metazoa; Chordata; Aves; Anseriformes; Anatidae. The record is from RNAcentral.
AAAAGCCCACAUCUUCAUUCCUUUCAGUGCUGUGCUGUCUCUGGUAGAUGUAUAUGCAGAAUAACAUUUAAAAAAAUGCUUAGGUAAUAGCAGAAACUGUUUUGUCUUUGCUUUAGUUCUGUACAUGUAAAGUGGUGAAUUCUCUGACUUUUCUCACAGAAACAGACCUUCUUAGCCUUUCAAGGAUAAAUGAGAGUUCAAUGGGUGCCUUCCUUUAGAAACCACUCUUUUGUGAUCUGUUCUUUUGAGUGUCUCUCUUCUGGGGACAAACAGGCUAGGGAAUUCCCUAGGGGAAUAUAAAACUGAUUUUAGAAACAAGUUAUUUAAGUGUUCAAAGGAAUAGAGAAAAGCUGAAUUAAAUGCAUUAAAUUGUUAUCGUGUCACAAUGAGUUGUUGCUCUUCACAGAAAGCUAAGCAAGAUACUGAAAAGUUCUUUGAAGAAACAGAAUGAACAUAAACAGGUCAAGGUCUUGCAUUCCCUCUGAAGAAAAAAAUGUUUCUUCUCCAAGUUUAUCAGCACUCAUUUGGAGUUAGAACAGCCUGGAGUGGUGCCCUGGAACUGAUUUCUGAUGUACCGGAACCGUGUCCCUGGCUGGCAACUGAAGCAGUUUUCUGUGGACUGAGUGCCUGACUUUCUCAUUGUCUUUUGUUCAUACUGGCUUUUUCCUCUUCCUAAAAUAACUUGAUCCUGCGAACGAACCAUUCAGCAGCCUGGAACUUGAAACUCAAGCUGAAAAAAGGUGGGCACCAUCACUUCAUACUAGUGGAAUAACUGUCCUGAAUUUAAUGGGGUUAAAGUGGUAUAAAAUUGUUAAUGAGAGUAGAAUGCAGUUUUAAACAUACCAAGUUGAGUGCAUUUUAAGUGGUUGUCUUAAAAUGUUUAAGCAAAUGCCUUUUUACUAUGCAGUUGCAUGACAAAACUUUGACAUGUUAAGGCUAGGUAGAAAAAUAUGUUGUAUUUUCUAUAAAUACUGUUUUAUACAUAAGCUAUAUAUUUGUGAAAUCAUACCAAGUUAAUAGAGGGAUUCCUCAAUUUUAUUACAUGCUGGAAAUAUUGUUCUAAAAAUGCUUGAAGUGAUUGAAACAACUGAUGUACAGACAUAUGGGAAAGAAGAAAGGUGCAGAUAAAGGUAAUAAUGUCUUUAGAUUGCUAUGCUUAAAAGUAGCAUGCUGCCAAGUAGGUUAAAUAGCACCAU